This 520-nucleotide ribosomal RNA is filed under the name uncultured Glomus. Its description in RNAcentral is "SSU rRNA". It matches the Rfam family "Eukaryotic small subunit ribosomal RNA", at positions 569 to 1077 of the family's 1831-position model. Lineage: Eukaryota; Fungi; Glomeromycota; Glomeromycetes; Glomerales; Glomeraceae. The record is from RNAcentral.
AGCAGCCGCGGUAAUUCCAGCUCCAAUAGCGUAUAUUAAAGUUGUUGCAGUUAAAAAAGCUCGUAGUUGAAUUUCGAGAUCAAUUUGUUGGUCGUGCCUCGGUACGUACUGGCAAUUUUGAUUUCUCCCUUCUGAAGAACCAUGAUGUCAUUAAUUUGGUGCCAUGGGGAAUCAGGACCGUUACUUUGAAAAAUUAGAGUGUUUAAAGCAGGCUCGCGCUUGAAUACAUUAGCAUGGAAUAAUGAAAUAGGACGUUUGAUUCUAUUUUGUUUGGUUUCUAGGACCGACGUAAUGAUUAAUAGGGAUAGUUGGGGGCAUUAGUAUUCAAUUGUCAGAGGUGAAAUUCUUGGAUUUAUUGAAGACUAACUACUGCGAAAGCAUUUGCCAAGGAUGUUUUCAUUAAUCAAGAACGAAAGUUAGGGGAUCGAAGACGAUCAGAUACCGUCGUAGUCUUAACCAUAAACUAUGCCGACUAGGGAGUCGGAUGAUGUUUAAUUUUUUAAUUAGUACUCAGGGGGUU